Molecule: long non-coding RNA, 4507 nt
Filed under: Brassica napus (rape)
Lineage: Eukaryota; Viridiplantae; Streptophyta; Magnoliopsida; Brassicales; Brassicaceae
Description: long non-coding RNA (BNAP_LNC015325)
Rfam family: MIR9563 microRNA precursor family (bases 1868-1992)
Source: RNAcentral
GAGCCUGACCGGUUAGCUCGGCAUCGGAUUGAGACGAACCGGGUCGAGCAAGCUAACCGAGAUCCAAUCACAUCGCAACCGGAACUAAAUCCGCUGCAGUUAACGGAGGAGGAAGUCUGAGGAGGUGCCACUAAGAUGGAACUGGACAAAAGUGGGAGGAGCGUGAGGUGGCGCGUGCCAGAGAUAGGCAAAGACAAGGCCAUUGUAGUAGGUAGGCGACUGAGGAAGCGAAACGAAGGUACUAGAGGUUUUAGUGUGGAUAGGGUUUUUGGUAGAUUUAUUCAUUUUUGCUUUCUUUAUAUUAUGGAAAAUUAUAUAUGGGCUUCUCAUAAACUUGGCUUGAAGCCCACAAAAUCUAGACCUUCGCAAAUUAUCCGGAUAUCAAGUCCCCCAAACCAGAAGAUCUUGGAACUGUGAAGUUUCCUCUUUCAGCCCACUGCUAACAUGACAGACGUUGUCUCUCCUUUUGAACACACGCGACAGACAUGGAAGAGAGUCGUUAUGUAAUAUGUAUGCUAGGCCUGGGCGUACGGGUCUUCGGAUCGGAUUCGAGCCGGUUCUUUUCGGGUCUUAAAUAUUUAGACCCAAUAGGUAUUUAGAAAUUUCCGGUUCGGGUUCGGGUCGGUUCUUCUCGGGUUCGGGUCGGUUCGGGUUCGGGUCGGUUCGGGUUUGGGUUGGUUCGAGUCUAUAAUUAAAACACCCGUAAUUUUUCGGAUCCAUAUCGGGUCCGGGUCGGGGUCGGUAUUUAAGAUCUGAAAAAGACAUGAUAUACCCAAUUUCAUUAACUUUAGUUGAAUAUUUGUCAUAUAUAUCUAAAAUUUUACAAAACAACUUAAAUGAAACUAUUAAUAACUAAAAUAAAACAUUUUAAAAACUCUAAAUUUUACAUUUUAAAGCUUUAUAUUACUUUAAAAAUGUUAAAAAAUAAUAACAAAUGUUGUUAACAAAAGAUAUUUCAACUAAAUCAUAAUAUAAUAUAUAUAUAAAAUAAACACAAAACAUCAUAGUUUUAGAUAUACAUGUUUUUAAGUCGGGUACAAAUCGGUUCUUAUCGGGUCGGGUCUAUUAUCUAAGGAGAAGAUAACAGUCAAGUUCGGAAGAUAAAUGUCAAGUUUCAAAGGAUAAACACCAAUAUCGAAAAUGGCGAACAUACACGAGAAGAGGAAGGAGAAAAAAGCAAGCAAAACUGAGAAGAGACAAAACUGCAUCUCCGAGAACACUAAGGUAUGUCCGACUUUUUUCAAGAUCAAACUUGGAAUUUUCGUAGGAAGGUACUAAGCAAUAAAACGCUUUUGAGACUGCCAUAGAAUUUUAAGGAACUUAAAACUUAGGUGGAUAGUCUAGUGAACUGUGUCAUAGGCAAUUUUUCCUUUUGCUUUUUAAUUGCUCUGGCAGAUCUUGCUAACUGAUCUAAACUCUCGCAAAAACGAGAAACGAUUGCCACGCAUACUUAGCUCCCUUCCCAAAAAAACAAAAAAAAAAAAAAAAAAAAUUCAAAAACAGUUUCAACAAAAAGGAGACAUACCGUUCCUGAAUCAAAAUAAUCAUAUAAUCAACAGUAAAUGUGUUUUCUUAGGGGGACUUGAUUUAGGCGUGACGGCGCAGUUAAUUGUAACAAAAAUCUAUGUAUAUAUACAUAUGUAUCUAUACAUUUUUCUUAUACCCUUAGCAUUAAACUAAAGUCAAUGGUCUUAGGGUACAAGAAGAUGACACUAUGCAAUGGAACUUAAAACAUAUAUACACAUUUUUUUACAGACAUUAUUGCAGAGAAUCAAACAUACAGAGACAAGUCCUACCCUAACAAUACUCGCAAGAGAACCAUACGAGAGCAUGAUUAUUGGGAGGUUCUUAGGGUGAAGUUUUUAGCGGAAUAUAAGAACCCGUCUCUUAACUUUUAACUAAAAAAACUAAGAGCCGUCUCUUAAAACUCUUAUUUAAGAAGAGCUUCUUAGUUUUUUUAGUUAAAAGUUAAGAGUCAGGUUCUUAUAUUCCGCUAAGAACUCCAUCUUAAGAACCCUCCAAUAAUCAUGCUCCGAGGGAGGAGAGGAAUUUACGUGCGACAACUGGCUGAAGACGAACGGGAAAGGAAGGAAAGGAGAUACGGUUGCUGACGUCACUAGAGGGACUAUGCGAGAUUCUUAAGCCACUGAGCUGUGACGUGACAAAUCGGAGCUCCUUUGACUUAGCGACGAGCUUUGCCGAUGAGGUCAUUCGCAGCCAAGCGCCAUGCGUAGCCAUUGUCGUCAUUUUCUGGAUAAUGAAGGAGAUUGGGCUCUUCUUCUUUUCAUUUAUUUUGUCGAAAAGCCUUCUUCGUCGUCCAGAAGGUUAUAACAUGUUUAGUGGGGUUCUUAGGAUGAUGUUUUUAUCGGAAUAUAAAAACGCGUGUCUUAACUUUUAACAAAAAAAAGCUAAGAACCGGUUCUUAAAAAUUAAGAGACGGAUUUUUAUAUUUCGCUAAAAACCCCAAUAAUCAUGCUCUUGCAUUCCCUAAACCGUCAGUUUUAUUUGAUAACCAGAUAGCGUUUAUUUGAAGGAUAGUAAGUUCGGUUAUCGGCCAAUCUCAGUUCCAAGAGCAAGCCGGUUAAAUCAAAAUCAAAAUCAAAACCGGGACCUUAAGCAACCAAAACAAAAUGUAUGGUUUCAACUUCAUUUUUUAAAUUCUUGAAUGCACAAAUGUAAGGAGACACAAUUUACAUUAUUAUAUAAAAAAAGUUGCAUGCAAUCAAAACUUGGCAUUUCAACAAUAUCCAAAGUUGGUCGAUUCACUGCAAAGUACUUCCCACGGUAGCAACACCAUCAUCUUCCUCAUCAUCAUCACUAUCAUACUAGCUUGCCUUUGCUUCCAUACGGUGUAGGUAUAUAUCCUCUUCAAGCCGCACUUCAACGUGUGUUUUCUCUGCGGCGAGAAUAGCGAGUUCUGUCAUUGUAUCUCGGUCUAUCUUGAGCUCUCUGGGGCUGCGGCUCAACUCUCCUCUGCCUCUCUGGUGAUCGUUGGACUAUCUCUCCAUUCACAAACAGCUCAGCUGUAAAGUCAACAACAGAGCCAUUAAGAAGAUAUUAAUCAGUAACUACUAGAUAACUUGAGUAAGAAUUGAGAUCUAAUCGAGAAAUACAUAUAAAAAAAAAGAAGCUGAUGUAUCUCUCGCAAUUGAUAUAAUCCAUUAAGACUCACUACUUUGCUAAGAUGGAUUAAGUGAAGCAUGAAGCAAAACAAGGGUUGCAAAUAUAUGUUCCAUCUCAACCAGGCUGCAGUUAGAUUAUAAUACAACCAAUCUGCAAAAAAUCGGCUAAGAUAAAGUACUUGAUGUCAGUCCAUUAGCAUUCAAAGCUAAUCAUAGCUCAAAGACUCAUUAGCUUCGCCAAGAUGGACUGAUAAUCAAAAACUGUUUUCAUGUUUCGAGAGGAAGAAAAAAAAAAAGCACUCGAGAGUUACAUGCUAUAUAUGUUCUCUCCUAAACCAGCUUGCAGUUAGAUAAUAUUAAUAACUAUCUGCAAAUAUUAGCUUAGAAGAGAAAAAUAGUUUUGGUGUCAGUCCAUUAGCAUUCAAAGCUAAUCAUAGCCAAAAAGACUCAUUAGCUUUGCCAAGAUGGACUAAUCAAAACAUUGCUUUCAUGUUUCAAAGAGUUGCAAAGUAAAUGGCACAUGUAAAGAUUUAAUUUUGAGAACUAAAACCAUACCAAAACCAAACACAUUGAACAAGAGGUGGAACAAUUAUUAGUUUAUUACCUCCGUAAUCUUUGUUUUCAGGAUCCACAUAGGAAUCAGGAAGCACAAACAGAACACCAGGCAAACCUGUUGAAAUUGUAAACAAAGAAAGAAACACUUAAAGGACACUCUUUUAUUAACACUAGCGAACACAAGAGAGAGUGAAGUGCAAGUAAAGACAAGACCUUCAAGCUUAGUAGAAGUCUCUUCAUCAAUCUCACACCCAAACCCUAAAUACCUCUCGCAAGAAACAUUGUAGAUUCGCUUCUUCGCCUCUUCCUCACUACACAAAACCAAAACAAAACAGAGUAAACACACAGCGACUCAAACACAUCAGCUAAGGUUUACCUUCCAACGACUUUGGCUAAGGUUUGGAUGUAGCAAUCAAUCAUCUCCUGCUUCGUCGCGCCUUCGCCUCCAGGCUUAUCCAUAACAAUCAGCCAGUGCUCGUAAUCGCACCCCGGAAACAGAGGCGCCAUCUCCGUCGGAGGCCGAUCGCUGAAGUUCGAGCCAGAGUUCAGCGGCGAGUAAGCGGAGCCUGACCGGUUAGCUCGGCAUCGGAUUGAGACGAACCGGGUCGAGCAAGCUAACCGAGAUCCAAUCACAUCGCAACCGGAACUAAAUCCGCUGCAGUUAACGGAGGAGGAAGUCUGAGGAGGUGCCACUAAGAUGGAACUGGACAAAAGUGGGAGGAGCGUGAGGUGGCGCGUGCCAGAGAUAGGCAAAGACAAGGCCAUUGUAGUAGGUAGGCGACUGAGGAAGCGAAACGAAGGUACUAGAGGUUUUAGUGUGGAUAGGGUUU